UGCUCUCUAGCAAUGCCAAGCAGCUGUAAAGCUUUUAGUCUGCUGCUCAAGCUGGAAUUACAGCUGCUUUGCAUCACUAGGCUGGUACAGAGCAGUCAGAGCACGUCUGGGUUUGUAUAGAGCUUUUUCAACAGGGUAAUUCACCCGGUAUGCACACAAUAGGGAAUGCGUGCAGCACCUAGAGAAAGUAUGUAGGUGAGUGAGAGCUCUGAUGACAUGAUCAAAUCAUAGCUUCGUUACAGGCUAGGCCUUUAAACUGUGAGGUUUGUACUGAAUUCCAAAGUUUAUCUUUUCUUCUAUUAUAUCUGUUCUCUCUGAGUAGCAAAACGCUUACAAUAUGCACAAUGCGGUGCGCUAUUUAUAUUUCACAUCAUAACGUUUCUCUGCAUUUGUAAUUUUUUACAUGAUUUCCAGUAUUUUAAUUUGACUCACUAAGGCAACAGCGUGCAUUUUGGGGCACGCUCCUUAAGUGUGCAUUACCCUGCCACACACGCUGUGCUUCCAGGGUGCCCGGUGUCCUAAGAGCUCCUGCAGUGCCCGAGAGGAGGUGGGAGAACUCUGGCAGGGAAGGUCUGUUUUCCGCUGGUGUAAAGAGCCCUCUGCACCAGCCCCUCGGACCUGGACAUUGCCCCUUCCCCGGUCCUUGCGAGUACCGAUGCCUCAACCCUACGCUGCAGGGCAAUUGAUGGUGGCUGGGAAGCGGGGCAGAACCCCGGACGGGCCACCGCCUCCCCGGGGCGACACGUGGCUCCGGCGCGUCCCGGGGCUGGGGAAUUAUGCGGUGCAGUCCCGGUGGAGUUCCUCUGCCAGUCUGCGGUGGAGGGCCUUUCACAGCUUCGUUUUUGUUGUUUUUUUGUUGUGUGGUUUUUUUGUUUGUUUGUUUGUUUUGUUUGAUUGUUUGGGGUUUUUUUUCCCUUCCCUCUCUAUCCGUCCAGGUUUUCUUUAAAAAAAAAACCCAAACUUUUUUCUUCUUUACUUUUUUUUUUUUCCUCUUGCAAGAGCCACUCCGUGGAAAGACGGGGUGGUGAAAGAGGGAGAAACCCCUCCCCUUCCCCUCCCCCGUGGCUCCUUCCUCGGAAAAGAAACAUUUUGGGGGUUUCCUCGCCUCCUACCCCUCCCCUCCCUUCUGUGCUCCUCCGCUCCCCGCAGCCGAAGCCGCGCCGCCCCCUGUAAGUCGCGUACCGGCCCCUUUGUGACCGAAGGGGCUGGGGGGAGAAUGCUGAGCGCGGCAGGGAGCGGGGCCGCCUCCGUUUGGCUUCGGGGCGGGAGAGCAGCUCCGCUGUCGCCCCGGCACUGAGCGCUCGCUCGCACCGGAGGCAGCGCCGCCCGCCCGUGGCCCCGGAGAUGCCGAGAGUAUGUGUCUCUGUCUCCACUGUACCUGCGCAGAGAGGGCCAACUUCGGCUUCCAGAUGACAGCUUCAAACAAGCAGCCAGUGCCUCGUACCCUCCUCACUCCAGCUGUGAUUUCUGUGAAGUUGGUGGUCGCUUUGUGCAAGGACAGAGCUGGGGUUGGGUGGUGUAAAUUCUUAAUUGCUGUCACUAAUACUGCAGUUGCAUUGCUGAAAAACAAAGGAGAUGUGCUUUAGAGCUGUGGUUUUUUCCCUUGUUUCUCUUUUUCUCUGUCCCCACUGGGAAUGUUUUGCACUUUUUUCCUAGUCUUUCCCUUCAGCUUCUUGCCACCUCUCUCUCCCCUUGCCACCCACAGGCUUCUCUGUCCUGAUUUCUGCAGCCUUGGUUUGGUCAGCAAUAAAGAGAUAGUGCCAAUUCUUAAAUAUGACAUCAUUUGGGUCAGGUUGAUACUGUGGUUAGAUUAAUAAAAGCUGUGGGGAGGUGUUGUGUUCCUGAGCUGUUAUUCCAGGCUGCUGCAGACCUCAGCCUAGUGGUGCUUGCCAAAAGCUCACAAGAUGGGAGAGGAAGGCACAUGCACCUCUGUAAUUUAAAAUGUGGAUGGGAUAGUGCGAGAGCUGAGUAAGCCCCUACAGGGAUGAUAUCUUUUUAGAGAGUAAAGGUGUUAAGCAUGUAUGUCAUUAGGAGGCAUAUUUACUUAAAAUAACGCAAUGUAAUGCUACAUUAUUUAGAUCCUUGAUUACAUGUAAGUAGAGGGCAGUAAGAAGGCAAGUAUGAUAGCAGCUUAACAUCUUUCAUCCUCUCAGGUUUGCAUUUGUGCAUAUCCUGCAUCCUUCAGCCUCAGUAAGGUGUUUAUUAGGUAACCAUUUUGCUGAAAUUAGCCUCAACCUUAAAAAAAAAAAAAAAAAAAAAAAAAAAAAAAAAAAAAAAAAAAGGCACGGUGCUAUUUGGUGUAGCAGGAUUUGGCGACUUUGUGUUAGUGGGUGAUCAAAAUGAUGAGUGGAAUUUUUCUUCCCCCUCGCCCCUCACCAAUUGCAAGGUUUCAAGUUAAGAUCUAGAAGUGAGAGGUGUAGAAAAUCUUACUUUUAAUACUUCUGGAAAUCAAUGCUUCUGUUCAAUAGUUAUUUAAUGUAAAAAUAGUUAUUUAGUGUAAAAAUGUAAAUUCAAUUUUAGUAGAAUUUAGUUUAGUAGAAACCAGCUAAAUGCUGGUUUGUGUUGUCUUUGGAGACUUCAGAGCUGCCCCUUAUUUUCAUCCUGUUCAGUGGAGAAAUGAAAAGGCCUGUGUGCACUUCACAGGAAAUGAGUGUCUGAUACAGGCUUGCAGGCUGCACAUUUCCAAGAACCGCUCUCAAGGUAUUUUGGUAAUGCACAUUCUCUCUGCCUUCUCCCUUCCUGCUCCUCCUGCACUUUGUGUGCUUCUGCUUGUUUGCAGACACGUGAAGGCUGAGGGGAAGAAUCAAAUAGUGCUACUAUUAAGUUUGCAGAUGGGCUCCUUUAGCUUUAUACUGGAGCAGUGGCUGGCAAAAUUGGGUUAAGCUGGCAGCAUUCAGUUGCAUUUGUUGCAGACGGAUUUUGUCCUUCCCCUCAUUCCCUGCAAAUGCUGAAGAAAAAUUUUGACUUCAGAUUGUGACUUGUGCAGCAAGGAAAUUUUUUGUGUGUAUGUGAUUCUGCAGUUCAGAAACAGUUUGGAUCUACUUUCAUACUUCCUCAGUAGCAAAGUUUAUUUGGAAACUUAGGCUAAAGCUUAGAAAAUGAGUGUGGCUAUUAGCAGUUGGAAAAUGCCAGAGAUCUGCAAUCUGAACUGUGUAGCUGGGCUUCUGCACAUCCUGCUGAAGCUAAGGGGGUUCAGCAUAAGUUUGCCUCAGUUCACACACUAGUGGUGAUGAGCAGAAGUUUGUGCAAGAAUGGUUUGUUGGUAUGCUUUUUGAUAGACCAGCAGUGUUGUUCUUUAUCCAUAUUUUAGUUCUUCCUUGUUUUUUUGUGAGAUUUUGUGGUGUGAAAGGAGGGAAGUUGGAGCUUGAGAAACAUUUACUGCUUUAUCAGUAAACACUGAAAUCUGCUGUUUGUGUAGGGUGCAUGCUGAUAUUCAAGUCAGCAUACCCAGAGAAGGAAAACAUGGACAGAACUGUUUUAACUCUGCAACAGGUCCAUAGUUGAUUGCUCAUAUUGACUUCUUAUACCCUUGUUUACUAUUUCAGUUUUGCACAAAGGGCAUUUAUGCGUUCUGCUGGGCUUCCCUUAGUGUAAUGUCAGGUUUGAAUGGUUAAGAGGUGUCUUUAAAAGGUAUUGCUAAAAAACCCAGCCCUUUGUUGCUGGAUUCCUGUACCUAAGGUCUGCUAAAGCAUGACAUAGUGGGUGCAGCACAGAACCAAAGCAAAGACAUUUGAGAGAGAAAUGAGAUUCAUCAGAUCAGCUCUCUCUUUCCCCAGUCUAUAUGAUUGGAAUUUUUCCUUUUGUGAGUUUUAAAAUUAGUUAUUUUUCAAUCUUUGUCACCUUUGAACUUUCUCUCAUCUGGUUUUCUGAAAGAAUACAAAAAGAAUGUCCUGAUUGUAUUGUAUCUUUCUCUGGCAUUCUCUUGUGUGUAUGUAUCUAUAUCUAUAUCUAUAUCUAUAUCUAUAUCUAUAUCUAUAUCUAUAUCUAUAUCUAUAUCUAUAUCUAUAUCUAUAUCUAUAUCUAUAUCUAUAUCUAUAUCUAUAUCUAUAUCUAUAUCUAUAUCUAUAUCUAUAUCUAUGCUCUCUAAACUGAGCAUGAAAUUUCUCCAGUCUCUCUCUGUACAGUUAUGUGUUGCUUCUUAUUACCUAUCUUUAGGCCUAUUCUCUUCGUUUCAGCUCUGUGUUUUUAUUUCAGGUGACUAGAACUGACUGUAUUCUCUCAGGUGGUGACAUUACUGUUAUGUUCCCACCCAUCCCUUUUGCACCCUCCCACUCCUGCUUGCUUCUUGGUUUUUAAGUGACUGCGUUUGCAUUCGGAGCUGGAGCUUUCCUUAAUGAACCAUAAGCACUGUUACUUGGCUCAUUGGCCAGCUGCAUCACUUAAUUUAUUGCUCUUGAAAAUACAGACCCAGCUGGUUUUCCUACAAGUCUGUGUGCAUUUGCAUGUGUCAGGACAGUCUUGCCUGACCUCCUCCUGCUUUCCUGCUGAUGAAUUUUGAAUGACCUCUGACUUCUCUGUCCUGCAGAGAGUGAUUUUGUCACUGUUUACCCUUGGAAGACAAUGGAGAGGGCUUGCUAUGUUUUGAGUUGGCUGCCUAGAUUUAAGUAACAUGAGGGUGUAAGCUGCCUGCUAGGGGGCAAGGUUAGGCCUCGGAGGUUUGAGGUGUUGUGGGUAAUAACAGCUUGAAGACAGGGAAAGACAAUUCUAGGAAAAGACCUGGAUCAGCAUCUGAGUUUGCACAGUCAGGGGGAGGGAGCUUCUUGCAUGAGAGAUGGAAGAGCCUUUGGGCUGCUUGUAGCCACCAGCCUGUUGAGGAGGUGGGAUCCUCUGCAAAGUGGGCUGAGUCGAACCAUGGGGAAGAUGCAAUGGAUGGUAGGGUGGAAGGGAGGUGACCAGAUGUGUAGGGGCUGAAAUGCCUUGGUUUCCUCUGGUCAUCCCUCUUUCACCUCCCAUUCACCCUGUGGCAUGGCUGCUCCACAUCUUCUGCCCAUCUGCUGUACAGGUCCUGGCAUGCUGCUGGCUCUUUAGCUUCUGUAUCUCACUUUCUGACUUGCUUGGGGAAAGCAUAAAGCGUGUCCUGUCAUCUCUUGCUUCUUCAGGUGCCACCUGCCUGAUGGGGAGCUCUGGCUGGGGGUUGGCUCUCCCCCACACCAGGUAGCCUUGUGCUGCUCCUGCCUUAGCAGCACAUGUCAAAAAGAGUUCCUUCCAAUACUUGCAGCCCUCUGGCAAUUGCUAGUGCAGUUGAUUUGAUUGAGAGAACAUCUCUCUUUGUGUAUCAACCAUCCAUUUCCAAUUCAGAAUCUCUGGGUAUAGUCCACCAUGCCCAGCUGGCUUUCUGCUUUUAUGUCACCUUCCCCCAUCUUUUCUGAUUGAACACCCUCUUUUUUCCUUUCAGGGUAAUCAGCAUUAAAUACUGGGAAAUCUCCUCAACAUCCUGUGCAAGAAAAAAAAAAUACCUGCUUGCUUGUGUAACUUUUCUGCAGUAUCCCUGUCCCCACUAGCUGGUAUCGCACUCAACUAAAUUGUUCCCCCAGAGGUUUUCUGUUUCUGAUAAACUGAAAAUGCCAUAUGUUUUCUGGGUUUUGUUUCAUUUAUCUUGGCCACCUACUGUCCCAGUUUCAUGACAGCCAUCCUCAUAUAAAUUUGUUCCCUACCGUCAAUAAUUUAUAUUCCUUUAUAUUGGCUCCUCCAGGAUUAUUUUUUCAUUUUCUGAAAGAUUUUUGAGGUUGUAGAGAGAUUUGAAUAGGGACUUUGGUUUUGUAGUGUGUGUGUGUUUGAUAUCUCUGAUCCACAGCAGAAGCCCUUGCAAACUGUUGCACCUAUAGCUAAUACCUGCACUGUGACCUGUGUUGUCCCCCAAGCCUGUCCUCUUAGCCAGGCAGCAUCUCUGUCAUCAUUUGUGGGAAGUCUGCACACUCUGUCACUUAAGAUUUCCUACAUAACCUUUCAUGAUUUUUUUUUAAUUCUUUUUACUUUUGACUCUCAGGACUAGUUUCUUUAUUUUGUGUGUUGGAAAUCCUCCACUAUAAAACUUAGUGUUGUGGUGCAUCUGUGCUUUCUGACCCUCGCCCUUUCCUUUGAAGGCACAGUAACUGGUACUGUGUUAUGGCCCCUCACAUCUUUUGAAGCUAGUCCUUCCGAAGAAUCAGGGCAGUGUGUUUCCCUUGUCCUCCUGUGCUUGUGUUGGUUAAUCAUCUGGGACUCCUCUUGCAGCAUAGUUCUGGUAAGGAUACUGAACCAGUUUUAGCUGCAGACACUGCUCAUUUCUUGGAGUUAGCUGCUUCUUUGAGUUUCUUUCCAGCUCAAUGUGAUCCUUUUGACAAAAAGCCAUGGUCAUCACAGGGACGACUGAUGGCCUUUGGUCUCAGGAUUUACUCAUUUCCUCAAACAGCGUUCUGGAACAAAAUCAGUUUAGUAGAGAAAGGCAGAGGAAAUGUACCUGUGCUCCUGUUCUGGGGGUGGGGGGAGCUGGUAGUGCUGAGGAGCCAUGAUGGGUUGGAUGCAGCCCUGGGCAUCUCUACCCCCUUCCCACUGAUCCCCCUCUCAUCAGGGAGACUAGACAGAGCAUUUCAAGUAGGGAGACAUAAGGGACUGCUGUUAUCUUGGCUUCUUCUUCCUUCAUGUGCCCUCUCCCCCAUCUCCUUGUUUCUGCCCUCAAACUGAGCUUCAGCCACCUUUCCAGAGGGCUGCUUCCUGAGCCGGUAUGUGGUGUGGAGGGAGGGACAGCAAGACAGCAGCACAGACUCUGUGUUCCCUGGCCAAGUACACAGGGCUGAGGUUUUGUGUAGCUGUGCAGCACUGACAUUCACAGGAAUGGCUGCUCACUGUGAAACUGCAAAGGUCAGGAGCAAUGCGACUGGGCUUCCCUCACUUACCAAAAAUGCUGUUGGCCAGAGGCAAGCAACAACUCUUUGCUUAAGCCAUAGCAGGAUAGGCUCAGCUGCAGCUUUGGAACUUAGUACUAAUUCCUCCUGAUUUUUUUUUUCCUUCUUGUUUCCCCAGUUAAAGGAGAAGGCAGAAAUAAUUCAGUCUCCAGUAGAAGAUGUCUUUGGCAGAAGUCACAUGGUAGUUUUGGUAGUUUUACUUGCUGUGGAAUAAGCUGUAGUUGCUUGUGGCUACUGCAGAGCAGCCUCUGAGUUCAGAGAAGUGAUGAGGCUUCUCUGUUAUACCAAAAUGGCAGGAUUACAGUUUCACACUGGGCUAUUUUGAUGAGGAAUAGACUCUUUUAUUUGAAAGUAUUUCUGAACGUGUGUAGUAUUUGAAAGGUUUGAGGAGGGGACCCUAAAAAUGGAUGUCUUUCUUCCAGCUCCUUCAAUUAGCCCAGUAAAGACAUUUAGUUUUUCCUUUAAACUGCCACCUUGUUGAGUUUUUCAUGGAGAAACCAAAGUGCUUGCAGACUUCCCUGCCUUGGAGAGUAUUUGGCACACAUCAUACUGUCUUACUGGUUUUCUUGGAGUAAAAACAUUUUAGCCUCUAUCAGCAAAGUGCUGUAUUAAUUCAGAAAACAUAUGUCAUAGAAAACUAUGUUAAGAAGUACCAAAUAUUAAUAUCAGAUCCAUGCAAAGUUAUUUGUGUGUAUUGAAGUAUGUUCUCCAGACCCGAAAUGUUGGGAGGUGUUUGAUAGGACAGGUCUUCUUGCAAGGUGUCCAGCUGCUGAUUCCCAAAGCCUGCAUGCAGGAUCUUCCUUCACUGUGUCUCUACUGUGUGAAGUAGGAACUGCCAACAGUGUGUGUGCUGCCUCAGCUUAUUUUAUUAAAUAUUGCAUCCUUGGAUGCUGGUUGUGUAGAGAAAUGCAGUAUUGGUUUGGUGUAUAUGUGGCAUGGUUUGGGUUUUUUCCCACAUAUUCUCUCAUGUGUCAGACAUAAUGGCAGCCUCACAUCAAACUGCCAUGGCAUAAAAGGUAGAAGGAACUGCCAUGUGUCUGAGGCCUGCUUUCUGCUGGAGAAAUUGGCUGUGAUUAACAUUUGUCCUCUUGGCUGAGUUGGGCCACAUCCUCCUCUAGCCACAGCUACCUCUGUUCUCUUUGGGAGGUCUGUAUGUUCAUCUCCUUUCCCUUCCCCCUCCGUAAUCCCUUUCUGCAUCAGCCCUGGUCAUCUUGGCUGUUGCAGGGUGCUCAUGGCAAAGGGCUUUGGUGUGACCCUGCACUGUGGCAGUGACGGCGCGAUUCAAACCAGUGCCGGUGUGUGGCAGGCAGUGGAGGCCUGGGAACCCGGCUGUCCUACCAUUAAAACCUAGUGUUGUAUGCUUGGCUCUUAGCAGGGAGAUUCUUUCAGUCCUUUGCUCAAGCUUACCUUUGAAACAGUCUUCUGAGCCACAAAUCAGUAUACAGCCAUUUCUGUGUGUUGCAGACAUGCAAACAAGAGAUGUCUGCUCAGGCUCUGUUGUUUGGAGUAGGGAUGCUGCUCAGGCUCUGCUGCUUGGAGUGGGGAUGCUGUCACAAGGGCUUGCAGGAUACCUUAGGAAGAGCUUUUCCUAAUUAUCCCAGCCUCCAUCUAACUGCUCUGGGAACUGCAGGGUUGAUAUCUAGGAGAUGUCAAAGCCAAAUGGAGAGGUAAUGGGAAAGUGUAAUAAUGAGAUCGACCUCCAAUUUUGCUAGCUGCAAGUCAGUGUAGCUUGUGGGGUGUGUGCCCAGUUUGGACUGGGCUGGGGAGGAUGCAGAGAAGUGAUGUUACAUGGGUACAAGUGAAGCUCUGCAGGGACUGCCUCUGAAAGGCAUGCAGAAAGCUGGGUUUGUUUUUUCAGCUUGCUAAUGGAUCCACUGACAGACAUGUGGUCGCAUACGUGGUGGUAUGCUGCUCCACCAGGUCAGUGGGUUUACUUUUCCAUCUGCAAGGUGAGAAGGAAAAGCCUUGGGAGCUGGGGUAGCAAGGCAGAAAAGUGUGAGCCAGAACAGAUUGGGUCACAAUUAGGAUAACUCAGCAGUGAAUGGAUACCUGCGUGGUGUCAAAUAAGAUACUCUAAAUGUUGAGCUUUAUAUUCAGCACAAGUUGGGACGUUGUUGUUCUGAAUCCUAAGGUUUACUCCUGUUGUCAUCAUCUCGCAACAUUUGCGUUUUAUGGUUCCUGCUUCUGGGAGAUGAUGGCAACUUUAAAGUCUUUCCAUUUGUCCUUGGGCCACCUGUGAGCUGCCUGGACCUAAUCAGCUCAUGGCUUUGCAAGUAGCAAUAAUAAUAACAACAGCAAUAAUCUGCUAUCUCUGUUGCUAUCUGAAGUGUUUUAUACGUGUUUCUACAGUAACACAGAUCAAAGAUAGAGAAAAACAACCUGUCUCCAGAUUUGUUGUAUUUUAGAUCCACAUUACAGCAAACUAAUGGGCUUAGUCACCUGCUUGAUGGA
This is an RNA transcript of Prinia subflava (tawny-flanked prinia), 9335 nucleotides long. It is a transcript of the gene named suppressor of cytokine signaling 1-like, with no coding region annotated. The transcript is spliced from 2 exons. Lineage: Eukaryota; Metazoa; Chordata; Aves; Passeriformes; Cisticolidae. The record is from RefSeq and is a predicted model, not a curated record.